RNAcentral lists this ribosomal RNA (254 nucleotides) under uncultured bacterium. Its description in RNAcentral is "partial 16S ribosomal RNA". It matches the Rfam family "Bacterial small subunit ribosomal RNA", at positions 524 to 776 of the family's 1533-position model. The record is from RNAcentral.
UACGGGGGGAGCAAGCGUUGUUCGGAUUUACUGGGCGUAAAGGGCGCGUAGGCGGUCGUGACAAGUCACUUGUGAAAUCUCCGGGCUUAACUCGGAACUGCCAAGUGAAACUGUCAAGCUAGAGUGCAGAAGGGGCAAUCGGAAUUCUUGGUGUAGCGGUGAAAUGCGUAGAUAUCAAGAGGAACACCUGAGGUGAAGACGGGUUGCUGGGCUGACACUGACGCUGAGGCGCGAAAGCCAGGGGAGCAAACGGG